This 1459-nucleotide unclassified non-coding RNA is filed under the name Hevea brasiliensis (rubber tree). The record is from RNAcentral. Lineage: Eukaryota; Viridiplantae; Streptophyta; Magnoliopsida; Malpighiales; Euphorbiaceae.
UCUGCAUUUACAAAGACUAAUGACCAGAUAUUAGGUUCUUUGCCUGACCCUCCUGCCGUUGGUAUCACCGCCAUCAGAGAGUUGGGCCCAUACACUACGAGAUUUUCCGCCUCCACUGCUGCAGUCCUCCUCGCAACCAGCCACGGUCUUUAGUAGCUCCGAUUGCAGUGAUGGGCAGUUCUCCUUGAGGUACUCAAAGCCAUCCGACCGCAUUACAGCUGCAAGGUUUUCAGCAGCAAAAUUUAGGCAAACAGCUUUUAAUUCUGUAGCAUGAUGACAGUCGGCCAAGGCCAAAAUGCUGGCAACAGAGCUCACAGAUAUAUCCUUGCAAAGAUGAGACUCACACAUCAAUCUGAGCCUGUCCAGACCAUAACUGUCAGCUGCUGCUAACAGUUUUGCCGUUAAUGUUUCAGAUACCAAGGAAACACAAGACGAGCUAGAUGUCUCCAUGUCCACAUCUUCAGUGAGAGUAUCUCGGUAAAUGAAAUGCAACAUGGCCUUGAAAACUUUAGGUUCUAAAUCAGUAAUAUGAACCACUUGCUUGUCUUCUUCUUCGGCAUCAAAAAAUUUAGACCGAAAAAAAGGAGAUCGAGCAGCCAAAACCAACUUGUGAGCAUGGAUCUUUUCCCCUGCCACAUUAAAAGUAAUGUCUGAACCUUCCAUAUUUUCAAGCAGCAUGCCAAAAUGUGCUCCUAUAUCAGACUCUGGAACCUGAAUUGAGUGUAAUCGAGGACAAUCUAUUGCUGAAACCACUACCCCAACAGUACAAUUUAUUUUCAGGCAAUCAUCCUUGAGAAAGUCAGAUGUUUCAAGCAAAGCUCGUCUGAAAAAUCGCUUGUAUCCCCACAUGCUACCGCGAUACUUAAGCGUGUAGGGGCCACUCUCAAGCGAGCGAUCGAAAUGGCUAUGAACCUUAUGCUUCCCUUUCCCACUCUGAUCAACUAGCGUAAGCUCGAACAACGCCCUGACGUCGGUACCCUCGCUGGCAAGGGCGAUGAAGACUGAGACGUAUGUUGAAUUAUCCUCCGGAUUCUUGCCGUCAGGAUAGAAGUAUAUCGCCCACUGGUACCCUCCCACCGUGAAAUUAUCGCUCGCAAUGUGCUUGCCCACUCCCAUUCCCUUGGCGAGCGAAUAGCCCUGGAUCACGAACCGGUGCGAGCCAUUCACCGUUUCGGUAACCGACCGGGAGGACGAUGGCGAGACCAGAGGGCUGGUCUCGGACUUGGGUACAAUGGUGUUGGUCAUUGUGCGGAGAAAAUCGAAAUUGGGGAAUUAUACAUGGAAUUGAAGGGAAAUUUUUGAAGAAUUAGAUUAGACUGGGGGAUGGGUGUAAGAAUUUGAGUGAGAAAUUGUGAGGUUUUGGUUAUGAAUUUGGGAAAUGAGAAAGAAUUCGCUAGAAUUUUGAUCUUAGUAACGGAGGUUUUUGUUUUUGUUUUUGUAUUUUGUAAUCCAAAUCCAC